GUGAAAGGACUUUGGCAAGCGCGCGUCCCGCUGAAGAUCAAAGUUUUUCUUUGGCAACUGUUUCGAGACCGGCUUCCCACGUCCAUCAACAUAGCAAAACGGAAUGGCCCGGCAACGGGCCCGUGCGCGCUUUGUGGGAGCCCCGAGAACGCAAACCACGUCUUUUUCCUUUGCCCUCUAGCGCGGUUUGCUUGGAGUGCAGUGCGCGAGGCCGCUGGGGUGGCAUGGGACACGCGAUCCUCCUCCAACCUCGUGGACCUCCUUCAUUCGGUUCUGGGUCAGAACAAGCGUGUACUCUGGGCUAGUAUCGGGGCGAUGUUAUGGUCUUUAUGGCUCACUCGCAACAAAUUUACCAUUGAAGGAUCGUUCCCGUCGCACCCGACUAAUAUUAUAUGCAAAUGCUCUAUCCUCUUGCAGCAAUGGAGUCCGUUGGCGAAGCAGAAGGAUGCUGAACUCAUGAAGCUUGCUCAAGCCCGCGUGCACUAG
Molecule: ribosomal RNA, 486 nt
Filed under: Triticum aestivum (bread wheat)
Lineage: Eukaryota; Viridiplantae; Streptophyta; Magnoliopsida; Poales; Poaceae
Description: partial small subunit ribosomal RNA
Source: RNAcentral